AUUGAACGCUGGCGGCAUGCCUUACACAUGCAAGUCGAACGGCAGCGGGCCUUCGGGUGCCGGCGAGUGGCGAACGGGUGAGUAAUGCAUCGGAACGUGCCAUUGAGUGGGGGAUAACGUAGCGAAAGUUACGCUAAUACCGCAUAUUCUGUGAGCAGGAAAGCAGGGGGACCGCAAGGCCUUGCGCUCUUUGAGCGGCCGAUGUCAGAUUAGCUAGUUGGUGAGGUAAAGGCUUACCAAGGCGACGAUCUGUAGCGGGUCUGAGAGGAUGAUCGCCACACUGGAACUGAGACACGGUCCAGACUCCUACGGGAGGCAGCAGUGGGAAUUUUGGACAAUGGGCGCAAGCCUGAUCCAGCCAUGCCGCGUGAGUGAAG
Molecule: ribosomal RNA, 377 nt
Filed under: uncultured bacterium
Lineage: Bacteria
Description: bacterial SSU rRNA
Rfam family: Bacterial small subunit ribosomal RNA
Source: RNAcentral